AGCAGCCGCGGUAAUUCCAGCUCCAAUAGCGUAUAUUAAAGUUGUUGCAGUUAAAAAGCUCGUAGUUGAAUUUCGGGGUCAGCAGGUUGGUCGUGCCAAUGGUAUGCACUGGCCUUGCUGAUUCCUCCCUCUUGUAGAACCGUAAUGCCAUUAAGUUGGUGUUGCGGGGAAACAGGACUGUUACUUUGAAAAAACUUAGAGUGUUUAAAGCAGGCUAACGCCUGAAUACAUUAGCAUGGAAUAAUGAAAUAGGACGAUCGAUCCUAUUUUGUUGGUUUCUAGGAUUGACGUAAUGAUUAAUAGGGAUAGUUGGGGGCAUUAGUAUUCAAUUGUCAGAGGUGAAAUUCUUGGAUUUAUUGAAGACUGACUACUGCGAAAGCAUUUGCCAAGGAUGUUUUCAUUAACCAAGAACGAAAGUUAGGGGAUCGAAGACGAUUAGAUACCGUCGUAGUCUUAACCAUAAACUAUGCCGACUAGGGAUCGGAUGAUGUUAAUUUUUAAUGACUCAU
RNAcentral lists this ribosomal RNA (509 nucleotides) under uncultured Glomus. RNAcentral's name for it is "SSU rRNA". It matches the Rfam family "Eukaryotic small subunit ribosomal RNA", at positions 569 to 1079 of the family's 1831-position model. The record is from RNAcentral. Lineage: Eukaryota; Fungi; Glomeromycota; Glomeromycetes; Glomerales; Glomeraceae.